AUUGAACGCUGGCGGCAGGCCUAACACAUGCAAGUCGAGCGGAUGAAGGGAGCUUGCUCCUGGAUUCAGCGGCGGACGGGUGGGUAAUGCCUAGGAAUCUGCCUGGUAGUGGGGGAUAACGUCCGGAAACGGGCGCUAAUACCGCAUACGUCCUGAGGGAGAAAGUGGGGGAUCUUCGGACCUCACGCUAUCAGAUGAGCCUAGGUCGGAUUAGCUAGUUGGUGGGGUAAAGGCCUACCAAGGUGACGAUCCGUAACUGGUCUGAGAGGAUGAUCAGUCACACUGGAACUGAGACACGGUCCAGACUCCUACGGGAGGCAGCAGUGGGGAAUAUUGGACAAUGGGCGAAAGCCUGAUCCAGCCAUGCCGCGUGUGUGAAGAAGGUCUUCGGAUUGUAAAGCACUUUAAGUUGGGAGGAAGGGCAGUAAGUUAAUACCUUGCUGUUUUGACGUUACCAACAGAAUAAGCACCGGCUAACUUCGUG
RNAcentral lists this ribosomal RNA (484 nucleotides) under uncultured bacterium. RNAcentral's name for it is "partial 16S ribosomal RNA". It matches the Rfam family "Bacterial small subunit ribosomal RNA", at positions 30 to 507 of the family's 1533-position model. The record is from RNAcentral.